Molecule: non-coding RNA, 381 nt
Organism: Coffea arabica (coffee)
Lineage: Eukaryota; Viridiplantae; Streptophyta; Magnoliopsida; Gentianales; Rubiaceae
Source: RefSeq, a predicted model, not a curated record
UGAGUGCAGAUUAUAUUAGUUUCCUCAUCACUUUACUUUCACGUUUCAGAGUCUCACCAGAAAACUGUUCCUCUCUGGGAUAUGAAGGAAUCUCAAAUCAAGCUACCUUUAGAACAAUUACCAGAGUUAUUUGCUCUUGUCUAUCUCAAAUUGGGGAUGACCAUCUUGUUCUCCAAACUUUGGAAAAAAAAUUCUUGAUGAGAUGUCACUGAAACUGCCAUUAGACAACAUCUGUGCAUUUCUCAGGGUGUUCGUCACCUUGGACACCAAACCCACAAGGUUCUCUGAACGGAGUGUUAUCAAAUUAAGCAAUGUCCUCUGUAAAUACUUGAUAAAUGUUGCAUCUGUAAGUGAUAUUCUGUUUUUGAUUCUUGUUCUUGA